This 427-nucleotide ribosomal RNA is filed under the name uncultured bacterium. RNAcentral's name for it is "partial 16S ribosomal RNA". It matches the Rfam family "Bacterial small subunit ribosomal RNA", at positions 29 to 506 of the family's 1533-position model. The record is from RNAcentral.
GCGAACGCUGGCGGCAGGCCUAAUACAUGCAAGUCGAGCGCCCGCAAGGGAGCGGCAGACGGGAGAGUAACACGUGGGAACGUACCCUUCAGUUCGGAACAACCAAGGGAAACUUUGGCUAAUACCGGAUACGUCCGAAAGGAGAAAGAUUUAUCGCAACUGGAUGGGCCCGCGUCAGAUUAGGUAGUUGGUGGGGUAAUGGCCUACCAAGCCUACGAUCUGUAGCUGGUCUAAGAGGAUGGUCAGCCACACUGGGACUGAGACACGGCCCAGACUCCUACGGGAGGCAGCAGUGAGGAAUCUUGGACAAUGGGGGAAACCCUGAUCCAGCGAUGCCGCGUGAGUGAAGAAGGUCUUCGGAUUGUAAAGCUCUUUCGACAGGGAAGAUGAUGACGGUACCUGUAGAAGCAGCCCCGGCUAACUCCGU